GAUGAACGCUGGCGGCGUGCCUAACACAUGCAAGUCGAGCGAACGGACGAGAAGCUUGCUUCUCUGAUGUUAGCGGCGGACGGGUGAGUAACACGUGGAUAACCUACCUAUAAGACUGGGAUAACUUCGGGAAACCGGAGCUAAUACCGGAUAAUAUUUUGAACCGCAUGGUUCAAAAGUGAAAGACGGUCUUGCUGUCACUUAUAGAUGGAUCCGCGCUGCAUUAGCUAGUUGGUAAGGUAACGGCUUACCAAGGCAACGAUGCAUAGCCGACCUGAGAGGGUGAUCGGCCACACGGGAACUGAGACACGGUCCAGACUCCUACGGGAGGCAGCAGUAGGGAAUCUUCCGCAAUGGGCGAAAGCCUGACGGAGCAACGCCGCGUGAGUGAUGAAGGUCUUCGGAUCGUAAAACUCUGUUAUUAGGGAAGAACAUAUGUGUAAGUAACUGUGCACAUCUUGACGGUACCUAAUCAGAAAGCCACGGCUAACUACGUG
This 497-nucleotide ribosomal RNA is filed under the name uncultured bacterium. RNAcentral's name for it is "partial 16S ribosomal RNA". It matches the Rfam family "Bacterial small subunit ribosomal RNA", at positions 28 to 507 of the family's 1533-position model. The record is from RNAcentral.